GCGGGGAUAGCUCAGUUGGGAGAGCGUCAGACUGAAGUGAAAACUUUUCAUUCCGUUCCUUUAUCUAGAUUCUCUAGGUUAGUUUAUCUGAAGGUCGUGUGUUCAAUCCACACUCACCGCA
This is a non-coding RNA of Xylaria sp. CBS 124048, 121 nucleotides long. NCBI's taxonomy places the organism in Eukaryota, Fungi, Ascomycota, Sordariomycetes, Xylariales, Xylariaceae. The record is from the annotation of a GenBank genome assembly.